AAGUCGUAACAAGGUUUCCGUAGGUGAACCUGCGGAAGGAUCAUUAAAAAGUUUGAGUGUUCACGCAUUCUAAUUUCCACCCUGUGUAUCUGUUACCGUAAGCUUCCGCUGGGCUGCGGAGGGGAGCCUUUGCGCUCGCCUCCCCUUCUGACUGGGCAACAGCCCCCUCGGGAGAGUCCUGGCGGGAGCCAACCAAACAAACCCUUUUUCGUUACAUACAGUCUGAGAAUGAUCUAAAAAAUCAAUUAAAACUUUCAACAAUGGAUCUCUUGGUUCUC
Molecule: unclassified non-coding RNA, 278 nt
Filed under: fungal sp.
Lineage: Eukaryota; Fungi
Description: partial internal transcribed spacer region
Rfam family: Eukaryotic small subunit ribosomal RNA (bases 1-46)
Source: RNAcentral